CCUACGGGUGGCAGCAGUGAGGAAUAUUGGUCAAUGGGCGUAAGCCUGAACCAGCCAUGUCGCGUGAGGGAUGAAGGUUCUAUGGAUUGUAAACCUCUUUUAUAAGGGAGUAAAGCGUGGGACGUGUCCUGUUUUGAAUGUAUCUUAUGAAUAAGGAUCGGCUAACUCCGUGCCAGCAGCCGCGGUAAUACGGAGGAUUCGAGCGUUAUCCGGAUUUAUUGGGUUUAAAGGGUGCGUAGGCGGCCUUUUAAGUCAGCGGUGAAAGUCUGUGGCUCAACUACAGAAUUGCCUGUGAAACUGGGAGGCUUGAGUAUGGUUGAGGCAGGCGGAAUGCGUGGUGUAGCGGUGAAAUGCUUAGAUAUCACGCAGAACCCCGAUUGCGAAGGCAGCCUACCAAGCCAUGACUGACGCUGAUGCACGAAAGCGUGGGGAUCAAACAGGAUUAGAUACCCUUGUAGUC
This 460-nucleotide ribosomal RNA is filed under the name uncultured bacterium. Its description in RNAcentral is "partial 16S ribosomal RNA". It matches the Rfam family "Bacterial small subunit ribosomal RNA", at positions 338 to 795 of the family's 1533-position model. The record is from RNAcentral.